RNAcentral lists this long non-coding RNA (364 nucleotides) under Mytilus galloprovincialis (Mediterranean mussel). Lineage: Eukaryota; Metazoa; Mollusca; Bivalvia; Mytilida; Mytilidae. The record is from RNAcentral.
UGAAAUAUCUGUUUGGUGAUUACACCAGUAUUUGGUCAAAUUAAAUUAAAACAUACUGGGUCAAACUAAAUUAAAACAAAGUAGUUUCUUUUUUUUUACAAGUGUGUAAAAAGUGUAAAUAGAUAUAUUAUGAUAAUUUUUUGCUCAAAUACUCAGGAAUGUUGUAGUGUUCCCUUUUUAAAAUCUAUGAUUGUAACAGUUGGUGUAAUUUUGUUUUCAGGUACAUACUGUCCCAAUGUUAUGAUUGUUGUUAUAUAUCAUGUGAUAUUGCUCAAAUUUUCUCUGAAAGCUGUUAAGUUUCUCAUUAAUAUACACUGUUUUAUAUUGUUUGAGUUUUGUCUUGAAGAAUUUUAUUUUUGUUUAA